AACGAACGCUGGCGGCAUGCCUAACACAUGCAAGUCGAACGAGACCUUCGGGUCUAGUGGCGUAUGGGUGUGUAACGCGUGGGAACCUGCCCUUAGGUUCGAAAUAACUCCCCGAAAGGGGUGCUAAUACCGGAUAGUGGCUUCGGCCCAAAGAUUUAUCGCCUUUGGAGGGUCCCGCGUUGGAUUAGCUAUUUGUUAGGCUAAAAGCUUACCAAGGCGACGAUGCAUAGCUGGUAUCAGAGGAUGAUCAGCCACACUGAGACUGAGACACGGCCGAGACUCCUACGGGAGGCAGCAGUGGGGAACAUGGGACAGUGGGCGAAAGCAUGAUCAUGUAAUGACGGGAGAGUGAUGAAAGCAUUAGAGUUCAAAAGCUCUAUUACCCGGGAUCAUAAUGACAGUACCGGGACAAUAAGCUCCGGCUAACUCCGUG
This 433-nucleotide ribosomal RNA is filed under the name uncultured bacterium. RNAcentral describes it as "partial 16S ribosomal RNA". It matches the Rfam family "Bacterial small subunit ribosomal RNA", at positions 29 to 507 of the family's 1533-position model. The record is from RNAcentral.